GUCUGGGAGUGUUCCCGUGGUGACCCUGGCGUGUCUCUGUGUUCUACUGCUGGGUCUGGCUAUCACUCUGGGAGUCCUCUAUUCUUCCAACAUGACUAGUCUUCAAGCUGAGGAGGCUCGCUUUGCCCAGAUGAAAGAGAAUCUAACAGGGAAACUGCAUGAACUGCAAGACAACUA
This is a long non-coding RNA of Coregonus clupeaformis (lake whitefish), 177 nucleotides long. RefSeq lists it as uncharacterized. NCBI's taxonomy places the organism in Eukaryota, Metazoa, Chordata, Actinopteri, Salmoniformes, Salmonidae. The record is from RefSeq and is a predicted model, not a curated record. The transcript is spliced from 3 exons.